UACGUAGGGACCGAGCGUUGUCCGGAAUCAUUGGGCGUAAAGAGCGUGUAGGCGGCUUGCUAAGUCUUGCGUGAAAUCUCGGGGCUCAACCCCGAGCGGUCGUGGGAAACUGGCAGGCUAGAGUACGAAAGAGGAUCGCGGAAUUCCCGGUGUAGAGGUGAAAUUCGUAGAUAUCGGGAGGAACACCGGUGGCGAAGGCGGCGAUCUGGGUCGAUACUGACGCUGAGGUGCGAAAGCGUGGGGAGCAAACAGG
Molecule: ribosomal RNA, 253 nt
Filed under: uncultured bacterium
Lineage: Bacteria
Description: partial 16S ribosomal RNA
Rfam family: Bacterial small subunit ribosomal RNA
Source: RNAcentral